UACGUAGGGUGCGAGCGUUGUCCGGAAUUAUUGGGCGUAAAGAGCUUGUAGGCGGUCUGUCGCGUCUGCUGUGAAAAUCCGGGGCUCAACCCCGGACUUGCAGUGGGUACGGGCAGACUAGAGUGUGGUAGGGGAGACUGGAAUUCCUGGUGUAGCGGUGAAAUGCGCAGAUAUCAGGAGGAACACCGAUGGCGAAGGCAGGUCUCUGGGCCACUACUGACGCUGAGGCGCGAAAGCUAGGGGAGCAAACAGG
Molecule: ribosomal RNA, 253 nt
Filed under: uncultured bacterium
Lineage: Bacteria
Description: partial 16S ribosomal RNA
Rfam family: Bacterial small subunit ribosomal RNA
Source: RNAcentral